CACACCUGGCAAUGGAUGUGACCUUCAGCACGGCCCAGGUUUCUUUCACUUGGAGGAGGCAAAGUGGUGAAUGGAAGGAGGCAAUCCUCUGGCAGUGGGAUGCUAGGGAGCGAUAAUAAGGCAAGUUUGCUUGCUUGAAGGCUGCUGGCAUCCAUGGUUGGAAGCUGGCGGACGUCUCAUGAUGGACCUAAGAGUAGCUUCUGGCACAAUGGGGCACCAUGACAGAAGCCAGAGUGCACAGAAAUGCUGUUUACCUUCCUGCCACAGCAGUACCUAUUUAUCUACUUGCACUGGCGUGCUUUCGAACUGCUAGGUUGGCAGGAGCUGGGACAUAGCCACGGGAGCUCACCCCGCCAUGCAGAUUCGAACUGCCAAACUUCUGAUCGGCAAACCCAAGAGGCUCAGUGGUUUAGACCACAGUGCCACCCGCUCUCAGCUGGUUCUGAAUACCAGUUGCUGCAAACCAUAGCAAAGGAAAAAGCUCUUGGAUUCGGGUCCUGCUGGUGUGCUUCCACUAUAACAACAAGAUGGGCUAUUUGAGUGAUCCAGCAGACUCUUCUUACGUUCUCUAGAACCUUUGCACGGGUUUCUGUGGUGAGGUACACAGAGGGCUCUGAGCACUUAGGAAAACCGCCUUAUAACUGGGCAUUAAAGUUUUGGCAGUUUCCCCUCC
Molecule: long non-coding RNA, 673 nt
Filed under: Podarcis lilfordi (Lilford's wall lizard)
Lineage: Eukaryota; Metazoa; Chordata; Lepidosauria; Squamata; Lacertidae
Source: RNAcentral